This 76-nucleotide transfer RNA is filed under the name Pseudomonas fragi. RNAcentral describes it as "tRNA-Lys". It matches the Rfam family "tRNA". Rfam says of the family: Transfer RNA (tRNA) molecules are approximately 80 nucleotides in length. The record is from RNAcentral. Lineage: Bacteria; Pseudomonadati; Pseudomonadota; Gammaproteobacteria; Pseudomonadales; Pseudomonadaceae.
UCCGCGUUAGCUCAGUUGGUAGAGCAGUUGGCUUUUAACCAAUUGGUCGUAGGUUCGAAUCCAGGUCGUGGAGCCA